CUGCCUUAUUUCAUUUCAUUACCAUUAUAUUAGAGUAUAAAACCAUAACUACAAUGUUUUUGAAAUUAAAAGAGAAAAAUAUUCAAAUUAUUGGGUGCCAAAACGAUAACUAAAUUACAACUCAUGAAAUAUUCUAUUAGGACGUUUGUGUGCUCUCUUUGGUCCAACACUAGAUGCAGACUCAUGUUGAUCCAAGAUCUAUUGGGUUCAAGAUUUCCACGCAUUCACAUCGACGCAUUAUACACCUCGCUGCAUGACCAUCUUUACACACUACUUUUAUACAAUCAUAAUCUAUUUUACAUCCUUGACGCGCUGUAAUGAAAAAAGAGAAUAAAAGAAUGUAACUAAAAUGGAAUGAAGUAUUGUUUAGAAAAUAAAGAGAGAAAUUUGAAAAGGAUAAAAGUUGUGUUACCUUCGAUGUUUGUUGAGACAAGAAAUAGGUAAAGAAAGAUUAUCAUAACGUAAAUAAACUUGACAAUUUCAGCCAUCUUCCUUUCUAUGUAAACAAUUGUUUUUUUUUUACUUG
This 526-nucleotide long non-coding RNA is filed under the name Medicago truncatula (barrel medic). Its description in RNAcentral is "lncRNA gene16689". Lineage: Eukaryota; Viridiplantae; Streptophyta; Magnoliopsida; Fabales; Fabaceae. The record is from RNAcentral.